CAAAUAAUGCAGAAAUUCUAUAUAUAGUUUUCACUUUAUCCUUACACAAUCCUGUUAUUUCUGAAAAAAAUGUUGGUGUUUGGUUUAAGAAUAGACGAGCUUGUGAAAGAAAGAGAAAGCACAUGUGUAUUGAGAAUCCUCAACUCAAAAAUCUGAUGCAUGAAGUGCAACCUUGUUCUGCAGAUCGACGUUUAUGAACUUUCAGCUUAACAUGUUGUAUUUAGUAGUGUUUAUGCUUCUUUGGGUGCUUGUAUUUGUUUUGAUUAGAUUUUGUCAAAAAAAUAAAAAUAAAAAUGAGGUGCUGAGAGUUUAGCUUACUAAUUUUUUUU
Molecule: long non-coding RNA, 329 nt
Filed under: Olea europaea (common olive)
Lineage: Eukaryota; Viridiplantae; Streptophyta; Magnoliopsida; Lamiales; Oleaceae
Description: long non-coding RNA (OEUR_LNC006939)
Source: RNAcentral